AACUAACGCUGGCGGCGUGCCUAACACAUGCAAGUCGUACGAGAAAGUUGGCUUCGGCCGAUGAGUACAGUGGCGCACGGGUGAGUAACGCGUGGAUAAUCUGCCCUUAAGUGUGGAAUAACGUACCGAAAGGUGCGCUAAUACCGCAUAAUGCCUGGCAACAUAAGUUGUCCGGCCAAAGAAGGCCUCUGCUUGCAAGCUUUCGCUAAAGGAUGAGUCCGCGUACCAUUAGCUAGUUGGUGGGGUAACGGCCUACCAAGGCGACGAUGGUUAGCUGGUCUGAGAGGAUGAUCAGCCACACUGGAACUGAGACACGGUCCAGACUCCUACGGGAGGCAGCAGUGAGGAAUAUUGCGCAAUGGGGCAACCCUGACGCAGCAACGCCGCGUGAGUGAGGAAGGUUUUCGGACUGUAAAGCUCUGUCGAGCGGGAAGAAGUGUACCAUGGCUAAUAUCCAUGAUAUUGACGGUACGCUAGAGG
This 480-nucleotide ribosomal RNA is filed under the name uncultured bacterium. RNAcentral describes it as "bacterial SSU rRNA". It matches the Rfam family "Bacterial small subunit ribosomal RNA", at positions 29 to 487 of the family's 1533-position model. The record is from RNAcentral.